UCCAAAAGGGCAGUCUAAUCCAUUGCAGAGUUAACAGUUCCAGGCGAUAGAGAGAACAGCUAUCCUUGGAACUAAGAACAGACCGAAAUUCUCCCAAGGACAGUCUUAGACAGACGGCUGUGGUUCAGCCCUGAUGAUCACGUAGUAUUUUCCGGUACCAUGGAGGUGAGACCACAGGAAGCAGGCUUUCAGAACCUUCAUCCAACAACUGAUGGAAGCAGAAACAGAGAUCUACAGUUAAGCACCGGGGCUGAGCUACCCGAGAGUCCAAGAGAAGGAGGAGUGAUAAUAUCAGCAAAGGGGUCAAGACCAUGAUGGUGAUACCCACAGAAACAGCUGACCUGAGCUAGUGAGAGCUCACUGACUCUGGACUGAUAGCAGGGGAACCUGCAUAGGAUCAAAGUAGGACCACUGAAUGUAGGGGACAGUUGUGAAGCUGUGGGGCCACUGGCAGUAGGACCAGGAUUUAUCCCUGCUGUUUGGACUGGUAUCUUGGAGCACAUUCUCUUUGAAGGGAUACCUUGGUCAGCCUAGAUACUGGGGGGAAGGCCUUGGUCUUGCCUGGAAGUGAAGUGUCUGACUUUGUUGACCCCCCCCAUGGGAAGCCUUACUCUUUCUGAGA
Arvicola amphibius (Eurasian water vole) is the source of this 622-nucleotide long non-coding RNA. RefSeq lists it as uncharacterized. The transcript is spliced from 3 exons. The record is from RefSeq and is a predicted model, not a curated record. Lineage: Eukaryota; Metazoa; Chordata; Mammalia; Rodentia; Cricetidae.